RNAcentral lists this ribosomal RNA (496 nucleotides) under uncultured bacterium. RNAcentral describes it as "partial 16S ribosomal RNA". It matches the Rfam family "Bacterial small subunit ribosomal RNA", at positions 36 to 507 of the family's 1533-position model. The record is from RNAcentral.
CUUCCCUCUGGCGGCGUGCCUAAUCCAUGCAAGUCGAGCGAACGGACGAGAAGCUUGCUUUUCUGAUGUUAGCGGCGGACGGGUGAGUAACACGUGGAUAACCUACCUAUAAGACUGGGAUAACUUCGGGAAACCGGAGCUAAUACCGGAUAAUAUUUUGAACCGCAUGGUUCAAAAGUGAAAGACGGUCUUGCUGUCACUUAUAGAUGGAUCCGCGCUGCAUUAGCUAGUUGGUAAGGUAACGGCUUACCAAGGCAACGAUGCAUAGCCGACCUGAGAGGGUGAUCGGCCACACUGGAACUGAGACACGGUCCAGACUCCUACGGGAGGCAGCAGUAGGGAAUCUUCCGCAAUGGGCGAAAGCCUGACGGAGCAACGCCGCGUGAGUGAUGAAGGUCUUCGGAUCGUAAAACUCUGUUAUUAGGGAAGAACAUAUGUGUAAGUAACUGUGCACAUCUUGACGGUACCUAAUCAGAAAGCCACGGCUAACUACGUG